GACGAACGCUGGCGGCGUGCUUAACACAUGCAAGUCGAACGCUGAAGACCUGGCUUUUGUUGGGUUGGAUGAGUGGCGAACGGGUGAGUAACACGUGAGUAACCUGCCCUCUUCUUUGGGAUAACGCCCGGAAACGGGUGCUAAUACUGGAUAUUCACUGGCCUUCGCAUGGGGGUUGGUGGAAAGGUUUGUUCUGGUGGGGGAUGGGCUCGCGGCCUAUCAGCUUGUUGGUGGGGUGAUGGCCUACCAAGGCUUUGACGGGUAGCCGGCCUGAGAGGGUGACCGGUCACAUUGGGACUGAGAUACGGACCAGACUCCUACGGGAGGCAGCAGUGGGGAAUAUUGCACAAUGGGCGAAAGCCUGAUGCAGCGACGCCGCGUGAGGGAUGGAGGCCUUCGGGUUGUAAACCUCUUUCGCUCAUGGUCAAGCCGCAACUGUGGGUUGUGGUGAGGGUAGUGGGUAAAGAAGCGCCGGCUAACUACGUG
Molecule: ribosomal RNA, 486 nt
Filed under: uncultured bacterium
Lineage: Bacteria
Description: partial 16S ribosomal RNA
Rfam family: Bacterial small subunit ribosomal RNA
Source: RNAcentral